Salvelinus sp. IW2-2015 is the source of this 1221-nucleotide RNA transcript. It is a transcript of the gene named V-set domain-containing T-cell activation inhibitor 1-like, with no coding region annotated. Lineage: Eukaryota; Metazoa; Chordata; Actinopteri; Salmoniformes; Salmonidae. The record is from RefSeq and is a predicted model, not a curated record.
UCAAGGGAGCAGCUGGAACUAUCAUAACCCUGUAAAUAUAGACACAGCUACCAAGGAGCCAUGGCCUCCCUUGGACAGAUCAUCUUCUGGGGGAUGAUAGUCAUGAUCUUUGUAGCUGCUGGAUUCAUCAUUCUCAUCUUGUUUGUGUCAUUUGCAGUUCAGGGUUUAGGGGGUUCCCAGGGCACUGUGGAUAGCAAUAACAAGUGGCCCAUCGGGAACCUGGGGGAGGAUGUCAUCCUGAGCUGCAAGUUCAAGACUUCAACUAACAGCGGGGAAUCGACCAGUCAGGUGUCAAUCAUAUGGAAGAAGGGACUCAGCGAAGUGGUGUACAGUUACAAUAAAGGAGCAGUCCAGCUGACGGAGCAGAACCCCCAGUUUAAAGAUAGAACCCAGCUGUUCUCAGACGCCAUAGGUGGAGGCAAUGCCUCUAUGUUGCUGAGGAACGUGAAAAUUAAAGAUGAGGGGGUGUACUACUGCAGUGUGAAUGCCCCUAGUUGCUCAGGGACUACCAGUGUUAACCUCAGAGUUGCAGCUUUCUCAGCCCCCAAAUUGAAGUGGGUCAACACUACCCUGACGGCAGAGGGAGAGAGAUGGUUCCCAAAACCAGAUGUCCUCUGGUUGGACGUCAAUGACAACGUCCUAAACGAGAGUGAAACUAGCUUUUUCAACAACUCCGCCGGGAUAACCCGAUUCAUCAGCUCCCUUCAGAAAAUUACAUUGAACGACAGCUACACCUGCAUCAUCCAAAACCAUCUGGUGAAGGCUGUCUCCCGGGCAACCGUCAAAGGUCCAGUAAACACCUUUCGGGGCAAAGAAAAUAGUAUUUUAUACUGAACAAAUACCUGGAUGAGAAGUGCAUGUUAGACGACUCUCUCCCAGUUUAAAAACAUUUACACAAGUGAAGUCACUCCCUCAAGUGAUGACACCUACAUCCUCUUCAGUCUACAUCCUUCACCUACAUCCUCUUCACCAUGACAACCUGGCCAACCGUGACAGCUAAACAAAAAAUAAAGUGACAAUUGAUCUGGCAUUUAACCCUACAGUCUCUUCAGUCAAUAUCACCAUGACAACCUGACCAACCAGGACAGCUAAACAAAAAAUAAAGUGACAAAUAAAGUGACUGGUGGCCAGGGUUGGAUAUAGAGAUAUCAACGAGGACUUUCUUCUCCUUCCCUACUGCAGCUGCACCACCCAUACUACUACCCCAACGGCACGUCCUAG